This 212-nucleotide long non-coding RNA is filed under the name Solanum tuberosum (potato). RNAcentral's name for it is "long non-coding RNA (STUB_LNC001903)". Lineage: Eukaryota; Viridiplantae; Streptophyta; Magnoliopsida; Solanales; Solanaceae. The record is from RNAcentral.
CCCCACUCAUUUUAAUAUUACAGAAGAGAGUCUAUCAGCUGAAGGAAGAUUACUAUGCAUAAUGAAGGUGUGCUCUGCAUUGAACCUCCACUUAGUGAAACAGUAACUUUUACUCCAGAGUCGUAGUGGUCUCAGACUUGAACUAUGACUGGUUAAGGGAAAUAAAAUAUCACUGCUCACACAUAAUAAUCAAGGUGUUGACAUGAGCUUUA